This 468-nucleotide ribosomal RNA is filed under the name uncultured bacterium. RNAcentral's name for it is "partial 16S ribosomal RNA". It matches the Rfam family "Bacterial small subunit ribosomal RNA", at positions 28 to 507 of the family's 1533-position model. The record is from RNAcentral.
GAUGAACGCUGGCGGCGUGCUUAACACAUGCAAGUCGAACGGAAAGGCCCAAGCUUGCUUGGGUACUCGAGUGGCGAACGGGUGAGUAACACGUGGGUGAUCUGCCCUGCACUUCGGGAUAAGCCUGGGAAACUGGGUCUAAUACCGGAUAGGACCACUUCUUGGAUGUUGUGGUGGAAAGUUUUUCGGUGUGGGAUGAGCUCGCGGCCUAUCAGCUUGUUGGUGGGGUAAUGGCCUACCAAGGCGUCGACGGGUAGCCGGCCUGAGAGGGUGUACGGCCACAUUGGGACUGAGAGACGGACCAGACUCCUACGGGAGGCAGCAGUGGGGAAUAUUGCACAAUGGGCGCAAGCCUGAUGCAGCGACGCCGCGUGGGGGAUGACGGCCUUCGGGUUGUAAACUCCUUUCGCUAGGGACGAAGCUUAUUUUGUGACGGUACCUGGAGAAGAAGCACCGGCUAACUACGUG